AAUGAAUGUUCAUUGGCCGCAGCUUCUUAGAGGGACGUGCGUUCUAUUAGACGCAGGAAGAUAGGGGCAAUAACAGGUCUGUGAUGCCCUUAGAUGUCCUGGGCCGCACGCGCGUUACACUGAUGCACUCAACGAGUCUGCCUUGGCCGAGAGGCCUGGGAAAUCUUGUUAACAUGCAUCGUGAUAGGGAUAGAUUAUUGCAAUUAUUAAUCUUGAACGAGGAAUUCCUAGUAAACGCAGAUCAUCAAUCUGCAUUGAUUACGUCCCUGCCCUUUGUACACACCGCCCGUCGCACCUACCGAUUGAAUGGUCCGGUGAAGCCUCGGGAUUGCGAUGAGUUUCCUUCAUUGGGAGUUCGUCGCGAGAACCUGUCUAAACCUUAUCAUUUAGAGGAAGGUGAAGUCGUAACAAGGUUUCC
RNAcentral lists this ribosomal RNA (418 nucleotides) under Fragilariales sp. endosymbiont of Amphistegina lobifera. Its description in RNAcentral is "SSU rRNA". It matches the Rfam family "Eukaryotic small subunit ribosomal RNA", at positions 1385 to 1804 of the family's 1831-position model. The record is from RNAcentral. Lineage: Eukaryota; Bacillariophyta; Fragilariophyceae; Fragilariales.